Molecule: non-coding RNA, 194 nt
Filed under: Capsicum annuum
Lineage: Eukaryota; Viridiplantae; Streptophyta; Magnoliopsida; Solanales; Solanaceae
Description: Bacterial small subunit ribosomal RNA
Rfam family: Bacterial small subunit ribosomal RNA
Source: Rfam by way of RNAcentral
GGAUAAUUUGAUACAGAACGAAGAACUUUAUCAGAGCUUGACAUGCUGCGAAUCCUCUCGAAAGAGAGGGAUACCUUCAAGAACGUGGACACAGGUGGUGUAUGGCUAUCGUCAACUUGUGCCGUAAGAUGUUGGGUUAUCCUCUGCUCAGAACAGGAACAUAGAUUUUUACCCUUACCCUUAUGAGAUCUACA